GGGAUAUUGGACAAUGGGGGGAACCCUGAUCCAGCGACGCCGCGUGAGUGAAGAAGUAUUUCGGUAUGUAAAGCUCUGUCAGCAGGGAAGAAAGCAAUGACGGUACCUGACCAAGAAGCCCCGGCUAACUACGUGCCAGCAGCCGCGGUAAUACGUAGGGGGCAAGCGUUAUCCGGAUUUACUGGGUGUAAAGGGAGCGUAGACGGCAGGGCAAGUCUGAAGUGAAAGCCCGGGGCCCAACCCCGGGACUGCUUUGGAAACUGUCCGGCUGGAGUGCAGGAGGGGUGGGCGGAAUUCCUAGUGUAGCGGUGAAAUGCGUAGAUAUUAGGAGGAACACCGGCGGCGAAGGCGGCCCACUGGACUGUAACUGACGUUGAGGCUCGAAAGCGUGGGGAGCAA
Molecule: ribosomal RNA, 399 nt
Filed under: uncultured bacterium
Lineage: Bacteria
Description: bacterial SSU rRNA
Rfam family: Bacterial small subunit ribosomal RNA
Source: RNAcentral